UAGGCAGUGUUUGGAUUCUUGGGCUUGU
This 28-nucleotide non-coding RNA is filed under the name Rattus norvegicus (Norway rat). The record is from RNAcentral. Lineage: Eukaryota; Metazoa; Chordata; Mammalia; Rodentia; Muridae.